This 506-nucleotide ribosomal RNA is filed under the name uncultured bacterium. Its description in RNAcentral is "partial 16S ribosomal RNA". It matches the Rfam family "Bacterial small subunit ribosomal RNA", at positions 29 to 523 of the family's 1533-position model. The record is from RNAcentral.
AGUGAACGCUGGCGGCAGGCCUAACACAUGCAAGUCGAACGGCAGCACAGGAGAGCUUGCUCUCUGGGUGGCGAGUGGCGGACGGGUGAGGAAUACAUCGGAAUCUACUCUGUCGUGGGGGAUAACGUAGGGAAACUUACGCUAAUACCGCAUACGACCUACGGGUGAAAGCAGGGGACCUUCGGGCCUUGCGCGAUUGAAUGAGCCGAUGUCGGAUUAGCUAGUUGGCGGGGUAAAGGCCCACCAAGGCGACGAUCCGUAGCUGGUCUGGGAGGAUGAGCAGCCAAACUGGAAAGGAGACACGGUCCAGACUCCUACGGGAGGCAACAGUGGGGAAUAUUGGACAAUGGGAGCAAGCCUGAUCCAGCCAUACCGCGUGGGUGAAGAAGGCCUUCGGGUUGUAAAGCCCUUUUGUUGGGAAAGAAAUCCAGCUGGCUAAUACCCGGUUGGGAUGACGGUACCCAAAGAAUAAGCACCGGCUAACUUCGCGCCAGCCGCCGCCGUAA